AAGCUGGGCGGGUCAUGCGCCCUGGCCUUCGCGCAUCUCCCAGGUUAGCUGCGUGUCCGGGUGCUAGGCUGCAGACCCGCCGCCAUGACGCUGCGCGCGGCCGUCUUCGACCUUGACGGGGUGCUGGCGCUGCCAGCGGUGUUCGGCGUCCUCGGCCGCACGGAGGAGGCCCUGGCGCUGCCCAGAGGACUUCUGAAUGAUGCUUUCCAGAAAGGGGGACCAGAGGGUGCCACUACCCGGCUUAUGAGAGGAGAGAUCACACUUUCCCAGUGGAUACCACUCAUGGAAGAAAACUGCAGGAAGUGCUCCGAGACCGCUAAAGUCUGCCUCCCCAAGAAUUUCUCCGUAAAAGAAAUCUUUGACAAGGCGAUUUCAGCCAGAAAGAUCAACCGCCCCAUGCUCCAGGCAGCUCUCAUGCUCAGGAAGAAAGGAUUCACAACUGCCAUCCUCACCAACACCUGGCUGGACGACCGUGCUGAGAGAGAUGGCCUGGCCCAGCUGAUGUGUGAGCUGAAGAUGCACUUUGACUUCCUGAUAGAGUCGUGUCAGGUGGGAAUGGUCAAACCUGAACCUCAGAUCUACAAGUUUCUGCUGGACACCCUGAAGGCCAGCCCCAGUGAGGUCGUUUUUUUGGAUGACAUCGGGGCUAAUCUGAAGCCAGCCCGUGACUUGGGAAUGGUCACCAUCCUGGUCCAGGACACUGACACGGCCCUGAAAGAACUGGAGAAAGUGACCGGAAUCCAGCUUCUCAAUACCCCAGCCCCUCUGCCGACCUCUUGCAAUCCAAGUGACAUGAGCCAUGGGUACGUGACAGUAAAGCCCGGGGUCCGUCUGCAUUUUGUGGAGCUGGGCUCCGGCCCUGCUGUGUGCCUCUGCCAUGGAUUUCCCGAGAGCUGGUAUUCUUGGAGGUACCAGAUCCCUGCUCUGGCCCAGGCAGGUUACCGGGUCCUAGCUAUGGACAUGAAAGGCUAUGGAGAGUCAUCUGCUCCUCCCGAAAUAGAAGAAUAUUGCAUGGAAGUGUUAUGUAAGGAGAUGGUAACCUUCCUGGAUAAACUGGGCCUCUCUCAAGCAGUGUUCAUUGGCCAUGACUGGGGUGGCAUGCUGGUGUGGUACAUGGCUCUCUUCUACCCCGAGAGAGUGAGGGCGGUGGCCAGUUUGAAUACUCCCUUCAUACCAGCAAAUCCCAACGUGUCCCCUUUGGAGAGUAUCAAAGCCAACCCAGUAUUUGAUUACCAGCUCUACUUCCAGGAACCAGGAGUGGCUGAGGCUGAACUGGAACAGAACCUGAGUCGGACUUUCAAAAGCCUCUUCAGAGCAAGCGAUGAGAGUGUUUUAUCCAUGCAUAAAGUCUGUGAAGCGGGUAAGAGACAUGCUUGGGAGAGCCAUAUCUGGAACCAGCUGAAUGUUAAAGGGAUGUUUCUGUCUCUGACUGCAAUGGGCAGAAGCCCUGAGCUCUCCAGCUCUGAACUUUAAGUUGCCCAACCAGGGUCCCCUCGGCAUGCAUAGGGCUGACUCUAACCCCAGGCCUGAGCACACAGCCUGGAGUUCCUACCCUCUAGGGAGCUGUGGCUUCAAGAUCUUAAGCAGUAAGAGCUUGGAGGAGUCUUAGAGCUUGUCCAGGGCAAAAUUCACCCUCUACUGAUAAGGACCCCAGGAUUGAGAGCUUACCUCUACGGGGGUCACCUGGUGUAUGCAGGCGGAGUGGGGUGGGGCCCCUGCCCAGGUCUCCUCCAUUGCAGUCCACUGGCCCCUCUCCAUCCAGGCGCCAUGUUUCCAAUUCCCCCACCUGGAGCUCAUCCUUGUCUCCCUCCUGGGUUGGGUAUGAGUGAAGGGUCAGAGUUGAGAUUUGAUUUGAGCUCAUCCCCAUGGCCCCUAGAUCCAGCACUCUUUCCACAAGACCUUAUUUUUGCUGCAGCACCGUGG
RNAcentral lists this small RNA (1923 nucleotides) under Pan troglodytes (chimpanzee). Its description in RNAcentral is "retained intron". Lineage: Eukaryota; Metazoa; Chordata; Mammalia; Primates; Hominidae. The record is from RNAcentral.